ACGAACGCUGGCGGCGUGCCUAAUACAUGCAAGUCGAGCGCGGGAAGCGGACUCGUCACCCUUCGGGGUGUCUAGUCCGUGGAACGAGCGGCGGAUGGGUGAGUAUCACGUGGGCAACCUGCCUGUAAGAUUGGGAUAACUCGCGGAAACGUGAGCUAAUACCGAAUGAAGUCUUUCACCACCUGGUGAAAGGAUGAAAGAUGGCUUUUAGCUAUCACUUACAGAUGGGCCCGCGGCGCAUUAGCUAGUUGGUGGGGUAAAGGCCUACCAAGGCGACGAUGCGUAGCCGACCUGAGAGGGUGAUCGGCCACACUGGGACUGAGACACGGCCCAGACUCCUACGGGAGGCAGCAGUAGGGAAUCUUCCGCAAUGGACGAAAGUCUGACGGAGCAACGCCGCGUGAAGUGAUGAAGGUCUUCGGAUCGUAAAACUCUGUUGUCAGGGAAGAACAAGUUGUGUUCUAACAGGACAUGACCUUGACGGUACCUGACCAGAAAGCCCCGGCUAACUACGUGCCAGCCGCCGC
This 527-nucleotide ribosomal RNA is filed under the name uncultured bacterium. RNAcentral's name for it is "bacterial SSU rRNA". It matches the Rfam family "Bacterial small subunit ribosomal RNA", at positions 29 to 518 of the family's 1533-position model. The record is from RNAcentral.